UGGGGAAUAUUGCACAAUGGGCGCAAGCCUGAUGCAGCAACGCCGCGUGAGGGACGACGGCCUUCGGGUUGUAAACCUCUUUUAGUAGGGAAGAAGCGAAAGUGACGGUACCUGCAGAAAAAGCACCGGCUAACUACGUGCCAGCAGCCGCGGUAAUACGUAGGGUGCGAGCGUUGUCCGGAAUUAUUGGGCGUAAAGAGCUCGUAGGCGGUCUGUCGCGUCUGCUGUGAAAACCCGAGGCUCAACCUCGGGCCUGCAGUGGGUACGGGCAGACUAGAGUGCGGUAGGGGAGAACGGAAUUCCUGGUGUAGCGGUGGAAUGCGCAGAUAUCAGGAGGAACACCGAUGGCGAAGGCAGUUCUCUGGGCCGUAACUGACGCUGAGGAGCGAAAGCGUGGGGAGCGAACAGGAUUAGAUACCCUGGUAGUCCACGCCGUAAACGUUGGGCGCUAGAUGUGGGACCAUUCCACGGUUUCCGUGUCGCAGCUAACGCAUUAAGCGCCCGCCUGGGGAGUACGGCCGC
RNAcentral lists this ribosomal RNA (522 nucleotides) under uncultured bacterium. Its description in RNAcentral is "partial 16S ribosomal RNA". It matches the Rfam family "Bacterial small subunit ribosomal RNA", at positions 355 to 889 of the family's 1533-position model. The record is from RNAcentral.